Molecule: ribosomal RNA, 253 nt
Filed under: uncultured bacterium
Lineage: Bacteria
Description: partial 16S ribosomal RNA
Rfam family: Bacterial small subunit ribosomal RNA
Source: RNAcentral
UACGUAGGGACCAAGCGUUGUUCGGAUUUACUGGGCGUAAAGGGCGCGUAGGCGGCAUGACAAGUCACUUGUGAAAUCUCCGGGCUUAACUCGGAACGGCCAAGUGAUACUGUCAAGCUAGAGUGCAGAAAGGGCAAUCGGAAUUCUUGGUGUAGCGGUGAAAUGCGUAGAUAUCAAGAGGAACACCUGAGGCGAAGACGGGUUGCUAGGCCGACACUGACGCUGAAGCGCGAAAGCCAGGGGAGCAAACGGG